UGGGGAAUAUUGGACAAUGGGCGCAAGCCUGAUCCAGCAAUGCCGCGUGUGUGAAGAAGGCCUUCGGGUUGUAAAGCACUUUUAUCAGGAGCGAAACGCUGUCGGCUAAUACCCGGCGGAACUGACGGUACCUGAGGAAUAAGCACCGGCUAACUUCGUGCCAGCAGCCGCGGUAAUACGAAGGGUGCAAGCGUUAAUCGGAAUUACUGGGCGUAAAGCGUGCGUAGGCGGUUUCUUAAGUCUGCUGUGAAAUCCCCGGGCUCAACCUGGGAAUGGCAGUGGAUACUGGGAGGCUAGAGUGUGUCAGAGGGUGGUGGAAUUCCCGGUGUAGCGGUGAAAUGCGUAGAGAUCGGGAGGAACAUCAGUGGCGAAGGCGGCCACCUGGGACAACACUGACGCUGAGGCACGAAAGCGUGGGGAGCAAACAGGAUUAGAUACCCUGGUAGUCCACGCCCUAAAGCGAUGCGAACUGGAUGUUGGUCUCAACUCGGAGAUCAGUGUCGAGGCUAACGCGUUAAGUUCGCCGCCUGGGGAGUACGGUCGCAAGACUGAAACUCAAAGGAAUUGACGGGGUCAUAGCUGUUUCCUG
Molecule: ribosomal RNA, 589 nt
Filed under: uncultured bacterium
Lineage: Bacteria
Description: partial 16S ribosomal RNA
Rfam family: Bacterial small subunit ribosomal RNA
Source: RNAcentral